GCCAUGCCGCGUGAGUGAAGAAGGCCUUCGGGUUGUAAAGCUCUUUCGGCCGGAAGAAAUCGUGUUCUCUAACAUAGGAACAUGGAUGACGGUACCGGACUAAGAAGCACCGGCUAACUACGUGCC
This 126-nucleotide ribosomal RNA is filed under the name uncultured bacterium. RNAcentral's name for it is "partial 16S ribosomal RNA". It matches the Rfam family "Bacterial small subunit ribosomal RNA", at positions 391 to 509 of the family's 1533-position model. The record is from RNAcentral.